CAGCCCUGUAGGAGACACCUCCAGAGAAAGUAACAGCUCUCAAUUGAUUAGCUGAGUCUCCACCAGCAGAGAGCAGAGAAGAGGAGAAGCAGCUGGAUGUCAGAGACUGCAGUUUGACGUUGGAGAAAAGCAGCUUGACUUCAGAGGGACAGCUUGACAGCAUGGAUUCAGAGAGGAGAAGAUCACCUUCCUGCUCCGUCCCCUUUCCAGCUCCCUUUCCCACUGAGAGCCACUUACACAGGCAAUAAAAUCCUCUGCAUUCACCACCCU
Homo sapiens (human) is the source of this 270-nucleotide long non-coding RNA. The record is from Ensembl. NCBI's taxonomy places the organism in Eukaryota, Metazoa, Chordata, Mammalia, Primates, Hominidae.